Long non-coding RNA from Anas platyrhynchos (mallard), 2257 nucleotides. RefSeq lists it as uncharacterized. NCBI's taxonomy places the organism in Eukaryota, Metazoa, Chordata, Aves, Anseriformes, Anatidae. The record is from RefSeq and is a predicted model, not a curated record.
CGGCGGCGGUGGAAGAGGUUGAGGAGGGGGAUUUCUUCCAGAAGGCGCUGCUGCCCCUCUCCUGGCUCUUCAGCAGGCGGCUCUGGCUCGGCCCCCAGUGCUCGAAGCUGCUGUCGGGCGGCAGGCAGCCUCCCCCCGCCGGGCCGCCCGCCGGCGAGGGGUGGCUGAACAGUUUCCAGCGGAGGCGCAGGAUGUGCUUCACGUCGAAGUCUUUCCUGCCGGAGCCGGACAUGUGCCUCUAACCAAGCCGCCCCCUCCCCUGCAUGUGACGCAGAUGUGCUCUGGGGCCAUCAGUGUGAAGACACAGAGGGAAAAAGAUGCUUCAGUCUUCCUCAUCUGAUCUGACAGUGUUAAACCCAAGGGAGGCUCCUUCACAACAGAGAAAUCUGCUUAGGAACAUCUGCCCACUUGGGACGGAUAUCGCAAAGUAUGCUGUGCAUCUGGGAUGUAAUUACAGAAUUAAAAGCUUCAUGGUGAAAUGUGGGAGAGGGGGAUAUAGGGGCAGAACUGAACUGCAUAUCAUCAGCUGGUAGCAUAUAAAGAUGUACAGAAUGCCUGCAAUCCACCUGUACCUUAGAAAGUAGCAUUUUAAAAGAAGAUGUAAACCUAGGAAAGUGAAAAAGAAGAUUUACCCCUGGGAAAGUGAUGAAAAAUAUAUAUUCUCAUCAAGGUACUCUGCUUUGGUCUGUUUUACCCAUGUACCUGUGAGCUAUCCAUUUUUUUAUUAUUAUUAUUUUAUUAUUUUUUUCUGAUAGCUCUCUGUGAAUUCAAGAAAAAAAUAGUUGAAAGAAUUCUUUUCCUCAAGCUGGAAUGUUUUAAUUCCUCAUUCGUAAAACGUUACAGCUUUAAAAAUCCUCCAGAGAAACACAGAAGUCAAACAUUAAUUAACAAUUUUAUUACUGUUUUAUUUAGUUUAUCACAGAAGCUGUGCUUCUAGUUAUAAACCAAUAUUAGGGUCUGUGUUUCAACUUUGAUUAAGGUCUGUAUUUAAGAGAACAAGAAAUUCAGGACACAAAGCCCUACUUUCAAGGGAAGAAAAAUUGCCACUGUGUAUUUUAAAUAUUGAUUUAUGCCACAACAGCUGGACUGCAAACUCUCUAGUGCCUCGGUUCUGCUCUCAGUACUCAGUGCUAAAAAAAAAAAAAAGACAAAAAUCCUUCUAAAGCAAACAGAAGAGAUGGUUCACUUUUAUAUAAGAACUGAUCUGAGUGAAUAUGUACUGCUUGGGAGAGCAGUAGGAAGAAAAGCAUAAAAAUUUUAAUCUAGAAUAGGGCGGAUGACUUUAAUCAUUUCAGAGACUUUAGAAAUGCACCUCUUAUGAAAAUGUAUGUGAAAUCAUCCAUGAGUCCUGGUUACUUAAUGCCUGGCUAUGAGCUCUAAAAGGUGGGAAUAUGAACAUGUAAAAUAGCUUUUAUCAGUGAAUACAUAGAUAGCUAUAUAUCUAAUAUCUUUUAAUUGAUUAGGGAAGUUCAGAAAUAUUCUGAGGAGGAUUGCAUAUUUUCCUUGCUUUAUUGUAAAUCUUAGACAUUUUAAAUUCUAAAUUAAUACUUUAGUUGAACAUUUGAUGUGAACAGUUGACAGAUUUUUAUUUAUUUUCAUCUAAACUGCAUUGCAUAGAUUUUGUCUUUAUUUCUGUUACUUAGAUAUUAUAAAUAGCAAUUCAUUGUAACAUUUUUUUUUUCUAUGUAUACUUCAGAGGUCACUCAAUGAAUAUAUUAAAGUAUCAUCCAACAAAGUGAUUGAGUUUUUUAUCAGCUUUCUGGUACAAACUAGAAAAAAAUUAUGAAGAAAAAAGUAAAAAAUAUUUUAGGUUGUUAUUCAGACUUUGUUAUUUCAAUUAUGUCAGUAACUGAAAUUGUCUUUGAUUAUUAUUGUUUUUAAUAAUUAAAUUCUCAACUCUUUGGUGUAUUCUUUGUAGGUUUUGACAUUGUAACAUUACUUGAUUCUUUCAUGUUCUGGUACAUUUUUUGAGGCUAAGAGAUACAUUAAUUUGGUACGUAUACCUGCUGUUUUACAAGCAUCUUACAGUUUAUUUCAUGUGUGAAGAUGUAUGAACACUGUCAUAAAAAGAAAUCUGGAAAGACCUUUAAUCUUCUUAUUCAGAUCACAUUCAUAAGUAUAAAGAAAGUAUUUUGUCAAUGUACAGUAAACAGGAGCUAGACCAUGAAGAAACUACAACAGAGAAGUAUCUGUUGUCACUGUAUAUAAUACAUGAAUAAAUCGGUUUCCUUAACCUGAAGUAAAAAAGAUGAAACUG